GAUGAACGCUGGCGGCGUGCCUAAUACAUGCAAGUCGAGCGAACGGACGAGAAGCUUGCUUCUCUGAUGUUAGCGGCGGACGGGUGAGUAACACGUGGAUAACCUACCUAUAAGACUGGGAUAACUUCGGGAAACCGUAGCUAAUACCGGAUAAUAUUUUGAACCGCAUGGUUCAAAAGUGAAAGACGGUCUUGCUGUCACUUAUAGAUGGAUCCGCGCUGCAUUAGCUAGUUGGUAAGGUAACGGCUUACCAAGGCAACGAUGCAUAGCCGACCUGAGAGGGUGAUCGGCCACACUAGAACUGAGACACGGUCCAGACUCCUACGGGAGGCAGCAGUAGGGAAUCUUCCGCAAUGGGCGAAAGCCUGACGGAGCAACGCCGCGUGAGUGAUGAAGGUCUUCGGAUCGUAAAACUCUGUUAUUAGGGAAGAACAUAUGUGUAAGUAACUGUGCACAUCUUGACGGUACCUAAUCAGAAAGCCACGGCUAACUACGUG
This 497-nucleotide ribosomal RNA is filed under the name uncultured bacterium. RNAcentral's name for it is "partial 16S ribosomal RNA". It matches the Rfam family "Bacterial small subunit ribosomal RNA", at positions 28 to 507 of the family's 1533-position model. The record is from RNAcentral.